RNAcentral lists this ribosomal RNA (253 nucleotides) under uncultured bacterium. Its description in RNAcentral is "partial 16S ribosomal RNA". It matches the Rfam family "Bacterial small subunit ribosomal RNA", at positions 524 to 776 of the family's 1533-position model. The record is from RNAcentral.
UACAGAGGUCUCGAGCGUUGUUCGGAUUCAUUGGGCGUAAAGGGCGCGUAGGCGGCUUUCUAAGUCAGGGGUGAAAUCCGGCAGCUCAACUGUCGCAGUGCCUUUGAUACUGGAGAGCUCGAGGGAGGUAGGGGUCUGUGGAACUUCCGGUGGAGCGGUGAAAUGCGUUGAUAUCGGAAGGAACGCCGGUGGCGAAAGCGACGGACUGGAUCUCUUCUGACGCUGAGGCGCGAAAGCCAGGGGAGCAAACGGG